CGCAGGCUGCAACCCGCCUGCGUGAAGUUGGAAUCGCUAGUAAUCGCGGAUCAGCAUGCCGCGGUGAAUACGUUCCCGGGCCUUGUACACACCGCCGUCACACCAUGAGAGUCGGGAACACCCGAAGUCCGUAGCCUAACAGCAAUGGGGGCGCGGCCGAAGGUGGGUUCGAUAAUUGGGGUGAAGUCGUAACAAGGUAAC
RNAcentral lists this ribosomal RNA (201 nucleotides) under uncultured bacterium. RNAcentral's name for it is "partial 16S ribosomal RNA". It matches the Rfam family "Bacterial small subunit ribosomal RNA", at positions 1299 to 1500 of the family's 1533-position model. The record is from RNAcentral.